This 425-nucleotide ribosomal RNA is filed under the name uncultured bacterium. RNAcentral describes it as "partial 16S ribosomal RNA". It matches the Rfam family "Bacterial small subunit ribosomal RNA", at positions 354 to 796 of the family's 1533-position model. The record is from RNAcentral.
GUGGGGAAUCUUGCGCAAUGGGCGAAAGCCUGACGCAGCCAUGCCGCGUGAAUGAUGAAGGUCUUAGGAUUGUAAAAUUCUUUCACCGGGGACGAUAAUGACAGUACCCGGAGAAGAAGCUCCGGCUAACUUCGUGCCAGCAGCCGCGGUAAUACGAAGGGGGCUAGCGUUGCUCGGAAUUACUGGGCGUAAAGGGCGCGUAGGCGGACAGCUUAGUCAGAGGUGAAAGCCCAGGGCUCAACCUUGGAAUUGCCUUUGAUACUGGCUGUCUUGAGUUUGGGAGAGGUGAGUGGAACUCCGAGUGUAGAGGUGAAAUUCGUAGAUAUUCGGAAGAACACCAGUGGCGAAGGCGACUCACUGGCCCAAUACUGACGCUGAGGCGCGAAAGCGUGGGGAGCAAACAGGAUUAGAUACCCGGGUAGUCC